Molecule: ribosomal RNA, 433 nt
Filed under: uncultured bacterium
Lineage: Bacteria
Description: partial 16S ribosomal RNA
Rfam family: Bacterial small subunit ribosomal RNA
Source: RNAcentral
AACGAACGCUGGCGGCAUGCCUAACACAUGCAAGUCGAACGAGACCUUCGGGUCUAGUGGCGCACGGGUGCGUAACGCGUGGGAACCUGCCUUUAGGUUCGGAAUAACUCAGAGAAAUUUGAGCUAAUACCGGAUGAUGUCUUCGGACCAAAGAUUUAUCGCCUUUGGAUGGGCCCGCGUUGGAUUAGCUAGUUGGUGGGGUAAAGGCCUACCAAGGCGACGAUCCAUAGCUGGUCUGAGAGGAUGAUCAGCCACACUGGGACUGAGACACGGCCCAGACUCCUACGGGAGGCAGCAGUGGGGAAUAUUGGACAAUGGGCGAAAGCCUGAUCCAGCAAUGCCGCGUGAGUGAUGAAGGCCUUAGGGUUGUAAAGCUCUUUUACCCGAGAUGAUAAUGACAGUAUCGGGAGAAUAAGCUCCGGCUAACUCCGUG